GUGGGGAAUUUUGGACAAUGGGCGAAAGCCUGAUCCAGCAAUGCCGCGUGCAGGAUGAAGGCCUUCGGGUUGUAAACUGCUUUUGUACGGAACGAAAAGCUUCGGGUUAAUACCCUGGAGUCAUGACGGUACCGUAAGAAUAAGCACCGGCUAACUACGUGCCAGCAGCCGCGGUAAUACGUAGGGUGCAAGCGUUAAUCGGAAUUACUGGGCGUAAAGCGUGCGCAGGCGGUCUUGUAAGACAGAGGUGAAAUCCCCGGGCUCAACCUGGGAACUGCCUUUGUGACUGCAAGGCUGGAGUGCGGCAGAGGGGGAUGGAAUUCCGCGUGUAGCAGUGAAAUGCGUAGAUAUGCGGAGGAACACCGAUGGCGAAGGCAAUCCCCUGGGCCUGCACUGACGCUCAUGCACGAAAGCGUGGGGAGCAAACAGGAUUAGAUACCCGGGUAGUCC
RNAcentral lists this ribosomal RNA (450 nucleotides) under uncultured bacterium. RNAcentral describes it as "partial 16S ribosomal RNA". It matches the Rfam family "Bacterial small subunit ribosomal RNA", at positions 354 to 796 of the family's 1533-position model. The record is from RNAcentral.